CUCUAUUGGAAUCCAUUGGAGUGUUGGGAGAAAGGAGGUGCCCCCCCUUGGGUUGUGCCGUGGCGGAGAUCUUUGUGGGCUAUACUCGGCCUUGUCUCAGGAUGGUAAGUUGGUGGUUGAAGGUAUCCCUCUAGUGGUGUGGGGGCUGUGCUUUGUCAAAGUGGGUGGGGUUAUAUCCUACCUGUUUGGCCCUGUCCGGGGGUAUCAUCGGAUGGGACCACAGUGUCUCCUGACCCCUCCUGUCUCAGCCUCCAGUAUUUAUGCUGCAGUAGUUUAUGUGUCAGGGGCUAGGGUCAGUCUGUUAUAUCUGGAGUAUUUCUCCUGUCUUAUCCGGUGUGAAUUUAAGUAUGCUCUCUCUAAUUCUCUCUUUCUCUCUUUCUUUCUUUCUCUCUCGGAGGACCUGAGCCCUAGGACCAUGCCUCUCGACUACCUGGCCGGAUGACUCCUUGCUGUCCCCAGUCCACCUGGCGGUGCUGCUGCUCCAGUUUCAACUGUUCUGCCUGCGGCUAUGGAACCCUGACCUGUUCACAGGACGUGCUACCUGUCCCAGACCUGCUGUUUUCAACUCUCUAGAGACAGCAGGAGCGGUAGAGAUACUCUCAAUGAUCGACUAUGAAAAGCCAACUGACAUUUACUCCUGAGGUGCUGACCUGUUGCACCCUCGACAACUACUGGGAUUAUUAUUAUUUGACCAUGCUGGUCAUUUAUGAACAUUUGAACAUCUUGGCCAUGUCCUGUUAUAAUCUCCACCCGGCACAGCCAGAAGAGGACUGGCCACCCCUCAUAGCCUGGUUCUUCUCUAGGUUUCUUCCUAGGUUUUGGCCUUUCUAGGGAGUUUUUCCUAGCCACCGUGCUUCUACACCUGCAUUGCUUGCUGUUUGCGGUUUUACACUGUGUUUCUCUACAGCACUGAUAUAUCAGCUGAUCUAAGUAGGGCUAUAUAAAUACAUUUGAUUUGAUAAAUCUGACCAUAAUUCUAUCCUUCUGAUUCCUGCUUAUAAGCAAAAACUAAAGCAGGAAGUACCAGUGACUCACUCAGUACGGAAGUGGUCAGAUGACACAGAUGCUACACUACAGGACUGUUUUGCUAGCACAGACUGGAAUAUGUUCCGGGAUUCAUCCAAUAGCAUUGAGGAGCAUACCAACUCAGUCACUGGCUUCAUUAAUAAGUGCAUCGAUAACGACGUCCCCACAGUGACAUAACCCAACCAGAAGCCAUGGAUUACAGGCAACAUCCACACCGAGCGAAAGGCUAGAGCUGCCGCUUUCAAGGAGUGGGACACUAAUCCGGGCGCUGACAAGAAAUCCCAAUAUGCCCUCAGAUGAACCAUCAAACAGGCAAAGCAUCAAUACAGGACAAAGAUUGAAUCCUACUACACCGGCUCUGACGCUCGUCGGAUGUGGCAGGGCUUGCAAACUAUUACGGACUACAAAGGGAAACCCAGACGCGAGCUGCCCAGUGACGUGAGCCUACCAGACGAGCUAAAUGCCUUUUAUGCUCGCUUCGAGGCAAGCAACACUGAAUCAUGCUUGAGAGCACCAGCUGUUCCGGAUGACUGUGUGAUUACGCUCUCCGUAUCCGAUGUGAGCAAGACCUUUAAACAGGUCAACAGACCACCAUAGUCCCUGUGCCCAAGAAAGUGAAGGUAACCUGCCUAAAUUACUACCACCACGUCGGUAGUGCUUUGAAAGGCUGGUCAUGGCUCACAUCAACACCAUCAUCCCGGAAACCCUAGACUACAGCUCAGCGUUCAACACCAUAGUGCCCACAAAGCUCAUCACUGAGGACCCUGUGACUAAACACCUCCCUCUGCAACUGGAUCCUGGACUUCCUGAUGGGCCGCCCCCAGGUGGUAAGGGUAGGUAACAACACGUCUGCCACACUGAUCCUCAACACUCGGGCCUCUCAGGGGUGUGUGCUUAGUGCCCUCCUGUACUCCCUGUUCAUCCACGACUGCGUGUCCAAACAUGAAUCCAACACCAUCAUUAAGUUUGCUGACGACACAACAGUAGUAGGCCUGAUCACCGACAACGAUGAGACAUCCUAUUGGAAGGAGGUCAGAGACCUGACAGUGUGGUACCAGGACAACAACCUCUCCCUCAACGUGAGCAAGACAUAAGAGCUGAUUGCGGACUACAGGAAAAGGAGGGCCGAAAGCUCCUAAUCACAUCAAUGGGGCUAUAGUGGAGCGGGUCGAGAGUUUCAAGUUCCUUGUUGUCCACAUCACCAACAAACUAUUAUGGUCCAAAUACACCAAGACAGUCGUGAAGAGGGCACGACAACACAUUUUCCCCCUCAAGAUUUGGCAUUGGUCCCCAGAUCCUCAAAAAAAAUUCUACAGCUGCACCACAGAGAGCAUCCUGACUGGUUGCAUCACCGCCUGGUAUGGCAACUGCUCGGCAUCAGAUGGUAAGACGCUACAGAGGGUAGUGCGUAUGGCCCUGUACAUCACUGGGGCCAAGCUCCUAUAGGUCCUGGAAGGCAGGAUAUACUAGGUGGUGUCAGAGGAAGGCCCAAAUACUUGUCAAAGACUCCAGUCACCCAAGUCAUAGACUGUUCUCUCUGCUACCGCACGGCAAGCAGUACCGGAGUGCCAAGUCUAGGUUCAAAAAGCUCCUUAACAGCUUCUACCCCCAAGCCAUAAGUCUGCUUAACAAUUAAUCAAAUGGCCACCCGGACUAUUUACAUUUACACUGCUGAUACUUGCUGUUUAUUAUCUAUGCAUAGUCACUUUACCCCUACCUACAUAUACAAAUUACCUCGACUAACCUGUACCCCUGCACAUUGACUCGGUACCAGUACCCCCCGUUUAUAGCCUCAUUAUUAUUUUAUUG
Molecule: long non-coding RNA, 2835 nt
Filed under: Salmo salar (Atlantic salmon)
Lineage: Eukaryota; Metazoa; Chordata; Actinopteri; Salmoniformes; Salmonidae
Description: lncRNA (ENSSSAG00000096675.1)
Source: RNAcentral